This is a long non-coding RNA of Lethenteron reissneri (Far Eastern brook lamprey), 3736 nucleotides long. RefSeq lists it as uncharacterized. The record is from RefSeq and is a predicted model, not a curated record. NCBI's taxonomy places the organism in Eukaryota, Metazoa, Chordata, Hyperoartia, Petromyzontiformes, Petromyzontidae.
CGUCGUGAGAAUUAUUUUAUGUUUUAUUUUUAUUAUUUUAUUACUUCCCUUCUACGUGAUGACUUUACCGAAAGAACCAAGAAGACGCACCUCCUUUCUCGAACCCGCUAGCAGGUACCAGGGGAUCGCGAAUGGGCCUUCUGUGACCCUUGGCCAAAUUCCUCCGCCCUGCCGACACACACACCGUGUAUAUGCUCACCGGCGUGUGCCCUGUUUGUACACCGCAGUUGCCGCUGAUGGUCACCAGCCGGCGCUAUUACACUACGUACGUUUGAGCUUCUUUCGCAUUGUUUAGCCUUUUUGUUUUCUGUCAAUUUCAUAAAAUUUUUGGUGUGAAUUUCAGCAUAAGCUACUUCUCGUCCAAAGCUGACUUUGUGCGCAGACCGGUAUGCAUGAGUGGUAGGAUGCCAUUUAAAAUGCAUACCAUAAAUUGAAGUUCCAGCUUUUGUGUGUGUAUGUUGAACUACCAUUGGAACCUCAUUUGCCAGUAAAAAAUAUAAUUGUUUUUUUACCCUUCUAUCUGGCAACAAAACUGACACCUUUUUUUACAAGGAGUCAUGUUUGCAUUGACCGCAAUACCUGCAGUCAUAAUGCAAACAAAAACAUAACUCUGAUAAUGUAUGCACUGUCCUUGAAGUUGAUUGGUCCACACCCGAGACAGCUUUCCUUAGAGCCUAGUCUCACAUGGUGUUGGACCAGAUGACGCCAAAAGGCGCACAACUCAAAGACAGCGCACUAUCAGAGUAUGAGAGCUCGGGGUAGGCAUUUACACCAUUGGAAUCUCAUUUGUCAGAAGAAAAAAAUGAUAAUUGUUUUUUUACCCUUCUAUCUGGCAACAAAACUGACACCUUUUGUUUGCAUUAUGACUGCAUGUAUUGUGGUCUAUGCAAACAUGACUCCUCGUAAAAAAAGGUGUCAGUUUUGUUGCCAGAUAAAAGGGUAAAAAACCAAUUAUCAUUUUUUUCUAUUGGCAAAUGAGGUUCCAAUGGUGUAAAUGCUUCACCCCGAGCUCUCAUACUCUGAUGGUGCAUUGUCUUUGAGUUGUGCGCCUUUUGGCGUCAUCUGGUCCAACACCAUGUGAGACUAGGCUCUAAGGAAAGCUGUCUCGGGUGUGGACCAAUCAACUUCAAGGACCAUGUGAGACUAGGCUCUAAGGAAAGCUGUCUCGGGUGUGGACCAAUCAACAUCAAGGACAGUGCAUAUAUUAUCAGAGUUAUGUUUUUUGUUUGCAUUAUGACCGCAGGUAUUGUGGUCAAUGCAAACAUGACUCCUCGUAAAAAAGGUGUCAGUUUUGUUGCCAGAUAAAAGGGUAAAAAAACAAUUAUCAUUUUUUUUUCUACUGGCAAAUGAGGUUCCAAUGGUGUAAAUAAUUUUUUUUGUCUCUUUACCUGUUUAUGCACGCCAAUUUUUUUCUUUUUCGUAAAUAAAUUUCAAACACCAAAAACACGCACUACCCCUAAAAAAACAUGCUAUACAAGAAUGUACAAACAUAAGCUAUUUUAAACAAUGAUUGUGAGAUUAUUACGUUUUUGAAAAUUUUCCGAGCCCUUCCCACACCCCUAUGCUGCUGGAUGACACUGGUCAACACACUUUGUCUGGCAUAAGGUAAUUCCAACGGGUUUAAGAAUGGAAAUAAUAAAAGAAUAAAAAAUAAAACAUAGUAAAAUAAAAUAAUAUUUUUAUUAUUUUAUUAUUUCCAUUCUACGUGAUGACUUUACCUAAAGAACCAAGAAGAUGAAUCCCUGCAGUCACGAAAGCUUUAAAUCAAGAUGACACUGGUCAACACACUUUGUUCUGGCACAAGGUAUUCCAACGGUUUCAAGGUAAUUUUGUGGGGUGCUGAUUCCAAAUCUGGCAUCAGUUUUUGUCUAUCGCAUCUGGUUUUUGAGAUAUCAAAUAUUGCAUUUUCAAUAAAAACUGCGGAAGAAAAAUAUGAAAUAAAUGUGGAUAUCUACAUAAAAUGAUGAUAUUAUAAACACACUAUCCUAAAAAUACAGCACCGUAUUUUAACACUAAAGCAGUCACUGACUCGCAACAAGUUGCAAUCAUAAGUGACGGACUUAAUUUCGGGUAAAAUCAAUGAAAAUGGGGUAUGCCGAUAGCAUAAAAAUGAGAUGUGAUGGAGCAAAUCUGAGAUCAGAUUUGGAAUCGGCACCCUGAAAUUAGUCGAGAACAGCUGCAAAAGUCCAGGAAACAUGCUUUUUUUGUUACCUGUCUUAUCGAUUAUCGAUCAUUUCACACAGUAGAGGCGUUGUUGUUGUAUGCUCAAAUCUUGUAACUCAAUUUUAACCCACUUCCCAAUGUGUAUCGACUGGAAACUUGGUAUACUGAUGUCUUAGUGAUGACAACACCGUAUUCUAUCAUAAAAAUAAAUAGAAUAUAUUUUUAAACAAUAUUUUUUACACGCUUUUGAUAAACUCACUUUGUCUGUUGUUGUUGUAACCUCAAAUAUUGUAACUCAAUUUUAACCCACUUCCCAAUUGGGUUACUUACGUCACACUGAUGACGUUCUACCAUAAAAUAAUCAAAAACAUAUUUUUAAAAACAUUCUUUUACACGCUUUGAUAAACUCACUCUGUCUGUUGUUGUAUCUUCAAAUCUUGUAACUCAAUUUUAACCCACUUCUCAAUGUGGUAUCGACUGGAAACUUGGUAUACUGAUGUCUUACUGAUGACAAUACUAUAUUCUGUCAUUAAAAAUAAAAUAGAAUAUAUUUUUAAACAAUAUCUUUUACACGCUUUUGAUAAACUCACUUUGUCUGUUGUUGUUGUAUGCUCAAAUCUUGUAACUCAAUGUUUCACCCACUUCACAAGUGGGUUACUUACAUCAUACUGAUGAUGUUCUACCAUAAAAUAAUCAAAAACAUAUUUUUAAAAACAUUAUUUUAAACGCUUUCUAUCAACUCACUCUGUCUGUUGUUGUUUUAGCCUCAAAUCUUGUAACUUAAUUUCAACCCACUUCCCAAUGUGGUAUCGACUGGACACUUGGUAUACUUUUGUCUUACUGAUGACAAGACUGUAUUCUAUCAUAAAAAGAAUAGAAUAUUUUUUUAACAAUAUUUUACACGCUUUCUAUUAACUCACUUUGUCUGUUGUUGUUGUAUCUUCAAAUCUUGUAACUCAAUUUUAACCCACUUCCCAAUGUGGUAUCGACUGGAAACUUGGUAUACUCAUGUCAUACUGAUGACAAUACCAUAUUCUAUCAUGAAAAUAAAUAUAAUAUAUUUGUAAACAAUAUUUUCACACGCUUUCUAUAAACGCACUUUGUCUGUUGUUGUUGUAUCCUCAAAUCUUGCAACUCAAUGUUUCACCCACUUCCCAAGUGGGUUACUUACGUCAUACUGAUGACGUUCUACCAUAAAAUAAUCUAAAACAUAUUUUUAAAAACAUUAUUUUACACGUUUUUGAUAAACUCACUCUGUUGUUGUUGUAUCUUCAAAUCUUGUAACUCAAUUUUAACCCACUUCCCAAUAUGGUAUCGACUGGAAACUUGGUAUACUAAUGUCAUACUAAUGACAAUACUGUAUUCUGUCAUAAAAAUGAAUAGAAUAUAUUUUUAAACAAUAUUUUUACACGCUUUCUAUUAAUUCACUGUCUGUUGUUGUUGUAUCCUCGAAUCUUGUAAGUUAAUUUUAACCCACUUUCCAAUGUGGUAUCGACUGGAAACUUGGUAUACUUUUGUCUUACCGAUGACAAUACUGUAUUGUCAUAAAAAAUAAAAAUACAAUUUUUUGAAA